ACCUGCACCCGGGAGGAAAGGCGAGGCUCUGCAUCUAGAUUUACCUCGUUCUCUUUUGUCUCCGCUUUUUUUUCACAUUUCCUUGCGACCCUGGCCCUUGAGCGACAAAAAGGGGAAGCCAAGGCUGGCCCGAGGAACGGAGAGGGCACAUGGCCUAGCCACAAGUGGAGCUUCUGCUCCGCCCGAAGGGAUGCGCUGGAGCGGCCUCUUCCUUCUGCCACGGUCUUUCUUUGCCAACUAGUAGUAGAGAUGGGGUUUCACCAGGUUAGCCAGGCUGGUCUUGAACUCCAGACCUCAAGGGAUCCGCCUGCCUCAGCUUUCCAAAGUGCUGGGAUUACAGGUGGAGACUGGACCUCAGAAGAGGGAGUGGGUGCCCCGAGAACUCACAGCUAGCGGACAGUGGAAAGGGCAGGAGCCGGACCAAGGUGAGGACAGUGGAACUGAAGGCCGCUGGUUACCUCUCCUGCCCUCCGCUGGCCACAGUGGAGAAGACAGCCCCUCCCUCCUGCUCUGACCUGACAGUGUUCAUCCAUCGCCCUGUAUUAGCGAAGAACAACAUCAAGCUGGCUAGCAAGGAACUGUAUACAGGGUCCAGCUGGGUAUCACACUGGAUCUCACCCAAAGCUUAGAUGUGAUCCAGCUCAGUAUCACAAAGCAGAACGAAAAGGAUGUGUUUGGGCUGAGAGGCCAUACAUUGGCUCCGGCAUGACGGGUGACUUCUUCCGAGUCUGGCUUCUGCAGCACACAGGGCUUCGCCAGCACCCAGCUCCUGCAGCAUGGGCAGCUCCUGUGACAGCAGGCGCCCGCAGCCUGCAAAGCGUCUCCAGUGCCGCCGCCUCAGUGAACCUCAACCAGCGGCACCUAGCAGCUUUCUCUGCCACCCUCUUCAGGUAGUUCUGUAGCAGCGCGUUUCUCAUGAGACACUUCCCUGUCUGGAUCUAAGCCCAGGGACCAGGAAACCUCUUGCUUGAGUGCUGGAACUCAGGCCAGAAGGCAGGAAGCCCGCCUGACCCCAUGUCUCAGGCUGCCAGAGGAGCGUGCGAUGAGGAAGGCUGGACUGUCUUCACAGGACACCAGGGAGAAGCCUCAAGCCACUGCCCCCUGACAAGUCGCAGCUCUCCAGCCUGUCUCCUCACUCCCCUCCCCUCCACAUGGGGGGGUUGGGGUGGGGGCGGGGAAGGUUCGGGGCAGGGGUCAUUUCAGCUACUGGGCACCAGUCUCCUCCUCAUGUUUAUCCUGUUCCCUUUGCUUGAAAGGUUCGUACUCCAGAUCCUUGUAAAACCGCUUCUCACCCUUUGAGUCUCAGCUUAAAUGUCCCCUCCUUGGAGGGGUCUUCCCUGACAAUGAAGCUCCGACCGUCCUCUCCUGUUUUACCCAGUUCAUUUCUUUCUGGCAUUUGUAACUACUUGAAGUUAAA
This 1417-nucleotide long non-coding RNA is filed under the name Homo sapiens (human). RNAcentral describes it as "ZNF213 antisense RNA 1". Lineage: Eukaryota; Metazoa; Chordata; Mammalia; Primates; Hominidae. The record is from RNAcentral.